This 253-nucleotide ribosomal RNA is filed under the name uncultured bacterium. RNAcentral describes it as "partial 16S ribosomal RNA". It matches the Rfam family "Bacterial small subunit ribosomal RNA", at positions 524 to 776 of the family's 1533-position model. The record is from RNAcentral.
UACAGAGGGGGCGAGCGUUAUUCGGAAUUAUUGGGCGUAAAGGGCGCGUAGGCGGCUUUUCAAGUGACGGGUGAAAUCCCUCGGCUUAACCGAGGAACUGCCUGUCAGACUGGGAGGCUUGAGACCGGGAGAGGUGAGUGGAAUUCCCAGUGUAGCGGUGAAAUGCGUAGAUAUUGGGAGGAACACCAGUGGCGAAGGCGGCUCACUGGACCGGAACUGACGCUGAGGCGCGAAAGCUAGGGGAGCAAACGGG